CGCUGGCGGUGCGCCUUAUGCAUGCAAGUCGAGCGAAGCUUUUCAGUAGUUUACUACAGAAAAUGACUGAGCGGCGAACGGGUGAGUAACGCGUGAGCAAUCUACCUUAGUUACUGGGAUAGCCCGAGGAAACUCGGAUUAAUACCGGAUAAUCUUAUUACAUCACAUGAUAUUUUAAGUAAAGGUCAGCCGAACUAAGAUGAGCUCGCGUUCUAUCAGCUUGUUGGUGGGGUAAAAGCCUACCAAGGCUACGACGGAUAGCUGGUCUGAGAGGACGAUCAGCCACACUGGGACUGAGACACGGCCCAGACUCCUACGGGAGGCUGCAGCAGGGAAUAUUGCGCAAUGAGCGAAAGCUUGACGCAGCGACACCGCGUGUGGGAUGACGGUUCUAGGAUUGUAAACCACUUUCAGGAGGGAAGAAAAUGACGGUACCUCCACAAGAAGCCCCGGCCAACUACGUGCCAGCAGCCGCGGUAAUACGUAGGGGGCGAGCGUUGUCCGGAUUUAUUGGGCGUAAAGAGCUCGUAGGCGGUUCAACAAGUCGGUCGUGAAAGUUCAGGGCUUAACCCUGAAAUGUCGAUCGAUACUGUUGUGACUAGGAUAUGGUAGAGGUGAGUGGAAUUCCGAGUGUAGCGGUGAAAUGCGUAGAUAUUCGGAGGAACACCAAUAGCGAAGGCAGCUCACUGGACCACUAUCGACGCUGAGGAGCGAAAGCUAGGGGAGCAAACAGGAUUAGAUACCCUGGUAGUCCUAGCUGUAAACGAUGGAUACUAGAUGUAGGAAUUGGAUUGACGAUUUCUGUAUCGUAGCUAACGCGUUAAGUAUCCCGCCUGGGGAGUACGG
Molecule: ribosomal RNA, 846 nt
Filed under: uncultured bacterium
Lineage: Bacteria
Description: bacterial SSU rRNA
Rfam family: Bacterial small subunit ribosomal RNA
Source: RNAcentral